This 327-nucleotide long non-coding RNA is filed under the name Physcomitrium patens. RNAcentral describes it as "long non-coding RNA (PPAT_LNC012458)". The record is from RNAcentral. Lineage: Eukaryota; Viridiplantae; Streptophyta; Bryopsida; Funariales; Funariaceae.
GCUUGUCGAAGUCUUUUUUUUUGCCCCAGCCGAUAGGUCUCUAGAUGUUACAGAGAACCCCGAAUAACCCAAACUGUUAAUCUUCAAUACCCCUUUGUACUUACGAUCUUGUAUCCACUGACCGUCCUGUUAGAUUAACCCAAUAAAUUUCAUUCACUCCGCAUACUCAAUCCUAUAGACACCCCUUUAAUCCUUCAAUCACAGACGUAACUCGAUUUUACAAAACAGUCAAGAGUAUUCAAACCCACUUCAUUUAAAAAUCCCGAUUCACCAUUACAACACUGACUUCAGCAGCGAUUGCCUCAGUCUUCCCAAAACUCUAUGAAG